Molecule: ribosomal RNA, 301 nt
Filed under: uncultured bacterium
Lineage: Bacteria
Description: partial 16S ribosomal RNA
Rfam family: Bacterial small subunit ribosomal RNA
Source: RNAcentral
CAGCAGCCGCGGGAAUACGGAGGGCGCGAGCGUUACCCGGAUUUACUGGGCGUAAAGGGCGUGUAGGCGGCCUGGGGCGUCCCAUGUGAAAGGCCACGGCUCAACCGUGGAGGAGCGUGGGAUACGCUCAGGCUAGAGGGUGGGAGAGGGUGGUGGAAUUCCCGGAGUAGCGGUGAAAUGCGCAGAUACCGGGAGGAACGCCGAUGGCGAAGGCAGCCACCUGGUCCACUUCUGACGCUGAGGCGCGAAAGCGUGGGGAGCAAACCGGAUUAGAUACCCGCGUAGUCCCUGUCUCUUAUAC